ACACACCAGUGGUUGGAUGAGGUGCCUAGGAAGAGUAAUCUCCUCCUGUUUGAGAAUAGGGCAAACUGGCGCCGGGAUAAUGUAACAAACUGAGACUAAAUCAAAAUUCCAAUCACCUGUAAGAUGUUCAUUACUUUUGAACUGAAAUUCUUAACGUUGAAUGGUCCAAAUUACAACAUUUCUUUCUCCAUCGUGUAAAAACGCUAUUAAGGAAGUUAGCUCGCGAGCUUUUGAGCCAGACUGCCGUUGAUGCUACAACUAAGUAUUUACUGGUUAAUACUGAUCCCAUUAGUGCAAAUAUAUUACACAUGUAUUACUGAACCCAAUCCAGUUGGAAAAAAAGUGUGUCAAUUCAAAUUUUGAAAAGGUUUUGCAGGGACUAUAUUAUGUGGCGGAAGGAUUGAUUAAUCAAAAAAUUCUAACUCUGCGUGAUAUCUCAGUUUCGUUUCAUUCAAUAUAUCUUUUAUUUUCAUACUCCUAUACAUGUAUUUCAGUUUUAUAAUUUAUGAUAGAGGUAGUUCAGACUUGGAACUUGGAAAUGUUGUAAUUUAUUAAUUUGGUUGAUAUAUUUUUCCAAACAGAACACUGAUGUCCCGCCCCUAAGGCCCCAGGAUUGCAGGAAUCCUGAAAUUUAUAAUUGAAGUAUCUCCUGUUCCAAAGAUGCUUCAUACCAAACCUGUGAUUCUUAUAAAAGUUUAGAUUAAUUCAUUGGACAUUUUGUAUAAAAGUGCAUUGUUUCUGCCGAUAAUUUAAAAACUUAGUCUCCAACCCCCACUUUUUGAAAUUCUAUUUAAAAAUUGACAUUACUCCUAAUACGUCCUUUUGAAUUCUCAAAGAUAACAUGAAUUUUUGCCGUAUAUUAAGUGCGAAAAGGUCAUUACUUAUUUCCAUUAUUACUAUUAAAUUUCUUUUUAUCUGUAGUGUUAGAAGACAUGAUUAUAUAUCUAUUUUAUGUAAUUAUUGAUUUGUGUUGUGUUGACGUCAAAAGACAAAUCAAGUUUAAUUGAAUAAAUCUUAAGUGCAAAAAGAUCAUUUGCUCAAUAACAAGCGUUGCGACCCUAGUUUUUCUUUUUAAUUUCCUAAUCCUCUUUCAAUGUAGAAAUCAAAAAUACAUCCACCCACCCCACCCCCCAAAAAUGACAUUACUCCAAAUCUCAGGUGCGAACCUCUUUAAAUCAUCGCACGUAUGUAUUUAUGAGGCGGUUUGAAAUACCAUAAAUUAUUUCACCUGUUGUAACCAGUUAUUUGAUUUUAAAUCGAUGUUACAAACAACCGCGUCACUCUGCCGUUUCAAGUGACAGUCACGUGGCCAGUUCAAACUUUCACAUCAUAAGUGGUCUUAUUGCUAUUUUUUACAACAGUACUGUGCCAUAAGAUUAUUAGAAUUAAAAAUAUGAAAGACCUCUUAGUAUUUUUUUUUAAUUUCUAAUAAACGUAUCAAAUACCUCUUAAAUCCCAUGAGGAUCCGGGUUAGAAUAAACAUUUCAAAAAAAAAAAAUUGUUUCAUUACUUACCAAAUAUUUAAUUGUACGCAUAGUCAUAUUUUAGGAUGUGUCCACGAGGUCGGGUGAGUAUUGUUCAUUUUAUUAAUUUUAUUAUUAUUUCGUGAUUUCUAUUUUGUAUUGAUAUGUGUCGUUAUCGUCGCCUUUCAUUGUUCAUUUUAUUAUUAGACUCUUACUUUUUUCAAAUGUGUGUUGUUUUUUUGCGCAAUAUCAAUUUUGUACAAUGAAAGGUGAAGUUAACAAACAUUGAACAAUUUCAUAACUCCCUAUAAGGAAUACAAAAUUAAGAGUUGGGUAAACACGGAUUCCUGGACAUACCAUAUAUCUAAUCAUUCAUUUUCAUAGGUCUUAAAAUGAUUAUUUUAGGAUAGAUUGAUUGAAUCUGGAAGCUUUUCUAAAAAGAAACAUCUUAUAUGACAGUUAGAAUUGGAUUUCAUUUUAAUGAGGUGUAUGGAUUACAGUCAAUAUGUUGCAUCUAUUAACGUUUGUUUGUGUACUCCAAUCUGAUCACCACUUACACACCAGAGAAAAGUGUUCACUUCGGAUCAAUUUCCAACAUGAAGGUCUGCAUUGUAUUUCUUGUGCUGUCAUUAUGUUGCGUGACCCUUGGGGUGGACCCCGGAGACUGGGCGUAUUUCUAUCUCAACACCGCAUGUUCCAUGAUGAAAAAGGCCAAGUCAAAUUUCUUCACUGGUGAUGCCAAGGUGAUUGCCUUCCAGGCUAGAGCAAGCAAACGUCUUGUAAAUAUUCCCAAACAUCACGUUGUUAAGUUUGGACAUGUCAUAACAAAUAAAGGGAACGGAUACAGAGCAAGAACUGGAAAAUUCUCACUGCACCGAUAGAAGGCGUGUAUUUCUUUGACUGGACCAUCACUGUCGACAACGGAGACACCUUCAAUACAGAACUCGUAAAAAAUAAUGCUGUAUUUGGCAAUAGUUACUGUGGAGCCCGAGGUUCUAACUACGCAAAGCCUUGCACAACGACUGCACGAAUACAGAUGAGGAAAGGAGACACAGUUUGGAUAGGGGGUUCGUGAUCAUCGGAAGAAUGCCCACGCUUUGUGGUCGACAUUUGGAGGUCAUAAGUUGUAAAAAGAAAACCGCGACAAUAAAAUGGAUUCAAACACA
Molecule: RNA transcript, 2629 nt
Organism: Ostrea edulis (European flat oyster)
Lineage: Eukaryota; Metazoa; Mollusca; Bivalvia; Ostreida; Ostreidae
Exons: 4
Source: RefSeq, a predicted model, not a curated record